This 107-nucleotide small nucleolar RNA is filed under the name Cephalotus follicularis. Its description in RNAcentral is "Plant small nucleolar RNA R71". It matches the Rfam family "Plant small nucleolar RNA R71". From Rfam's summary of the family: R71 is a member of the C/D box family of snoRNAs containing the C (UGAUGA) and D (CUGA) box motifs. Multiple nearly identical copies of this snoRNA have been identified in Arabidopsis, and it is thought to function as a 2'-O-ribose methylation guide for 18S ribosomal RNA. Lineage: Eukaryota; Viridiplantae; Streptophyta; Magnoliopsida; Oxalidales; Cephalotaceae. The record is from Rfam by way of RNAcentral.
ACGACAUGAUGAGGACAUUUUCUGAUGAGAUCCUUUAAUCAUUCCCAUGACUCAUGGAACUACUCACUAACGUGCUAUGAGAAUCUAGUGAGAGCUCGCCUUAUUUG